RNAcentral lists this ribosomal RNA (2774 nucleotides) under Enterobacter cloacae. Its description in RNAcentral is "bacterial LSU rRNA". It matches the Rfam family "Bacterial large subunit ribosomal RNA". Lineage: Bacteria; Pseudomonadati; Pseudomonadota; Gammaproteobacteria; Enterobacterales; Enterobacteriaceae. The record is from RNAcentral. RNAcentral also lists the same sequence under 1 other name.
AGCGUACACGGUGGAUGCCCUGGCAGUCAGAGGCGAUGAAGGACGUGCUAAUCUGCGAAAAGCGCCGGCGAGGUGAUAUGAACCCUUGACCCGGCGAUGUCCGAAUGGGGAAACCCAGUGCAAUCCGUUGCACUAUCGUUAACUGAAUACAUAGGUUAACGAGGCGAACCGGGGGAACUGAAACAUCUAAGUACCCCGAGGAAAAGAAAUCAACCGAGAUUCCCCCAGUAGCGGCGAGCGAACGGGGAGCAGCCCGGAGUCUGAAUCAGCUUGUGUGUUAGUGGAACGGUCUGGAAAGUCCGACGGUACAGGGUGAUAGUCCCGUACACGAAAAUGCACAUGCUGUGAACUCGAAGAGUAGGGCGGGACACGUGGUAUCCUGUCUGAAUAUGGGGGGACCAUCCUCCAAGGCUAAAUACUCCUGACUGACCGAUAGUGAACCAGUACCGUGAGGGAAAGGCGAAAAGAACCCCGGCGAGGGGAGUGAAAAAGAACCUGAAACCGUGUACGUACAAGCAGUGGGAGCCUCUUUAUGGGGUGACUGCGUACCUUUUGUAUAAUGGGUCAGCGACUUAUAUUCUGUAGCAAGGUUAACCGUAUAGGGGAGCCGAAGGGAAACCGAGUCUUAACUGGGCGUUAAGUUGCAGGGUAUAGACCCGAAACCCGGUGAUCUAGCCAUGGGCAGGUUGAAGGUUGGGUAACACUAACUGGAGGACCGAACCGACUAAUGUUGAAAAAUUAGCGGAUGACCUGUGGCUGGGGGUGAAAGGCCAAUCAAACCGGGAGAUAGCUGGUUCUCCCCGAAAGCUAUUUAGGUAGCGCCUCGUGAACUCAUCUUCGGGGGUAGAGCACUGUUUCGGCUAGGGGGCCAUCCCGGCUUACCAACCCGAUGCAAACUACGAAUACCGAAGAAUGUUAUCACGGGAGACACACGGCGGGUGCUAACGUCCGUCGUGAAGAGGGAAACAACCCAGACCGCCAGCUAAGGUCCCAAAGUCAUGGUUAAGUGGGAAACGAUGUGGGAAGGCACAGACAGCCAGGAUGUUGGCUUAGAAGCAGCCAUCAUUUAAAGAAAGCGUAAUAGCUCACUGGUCGAGUCGGCCUGCGCGGAAGAUGUAACGGGGCUAAACCAUGCACCGAAGCUGCGGCAGCGACACUAUGUGUUGUUGGGUAGGGGAGCGUUCUGUAAGCCGUUGAAGGUGUGCUGUGAGGCAUGCUGGAGGUAUCAGAAGUGCGAAUGCUGACAUAAGUAACGAUAAAGCGGGUGAAAAGCCCGCUCGCCGGAAGACCAAGGGUUCCUGUCCAACGUUAAUCGGGGCAGGGUGAGUCGACCCCUAAGGCGAGGCCGAAAGGCGUAGUCGAUGGGAAACAGGUUAAUAUUCCUGUACUUGGUGUUACUGCGAAGGGGGGACGGAGAAGGCUAUGUCAGCCGGGCGACGGUUGUCCCGGUUUAAGCAUGUAGGCGGAGGUUCCAGGUAAAUCCGGUACCUUGUUAACGCUGAGGUGUGAUGACGAGGCACUACGGUGCUGAAGUGAUAAAUGCCCUGCUUCCAGGAAAAGCCUCUAAGCAUCAGGUAACACGAAAUCGUACCCCAAACCGACACAGGUGGUCAGGUAGAGAAUACCAAGGCGCUUGAGAGAACUCGGGUGAAGGAACUAGGCAAAAUGGUGCCGUAACUUCGGGAGAAGGCACGCUGAUGUGUAGGUGAAGCCCCUGCGGGCGGAGCUGAAAUCAGUCGAAGAUACCAGCUGGCUGCAACUGUUUAUUAAAAACACAGCACUGUGCAAACACGAAAGUGGACGUAUACGGUGUGACGCCUGCCCGGUGCCGGAAGGUUAAUUGAUGGGGUUAGCGGCAACGCGAAGCUCUUGAUCGAAGCCCCGGUAAACGGCGGCCGUAACUAUAACGGUCCUAAGGUAGCGAAAUUCCUUGUCGGGUAAGUUCCGACCUGCACGAAUGGCGUAAUGAUGGCCAGGCUGUCUCCACCCGAGACUCAGUGAAAUUGAACUCGCUGUGAAGAUGCAGUGUACCCGCGGCAAGACGGAAAGACCCCGUGAACCUUUACUAUAGCUUGACACUGAACACUGGUCCUUGAUGUGUAGGAUAGGUGGGAGGCUUUGAAGCGUGGACGCCAGUCUGCGUGGAGCCAACCUUGAAAUACCACCCUUUAAUGGCUGGUGUUCUAACGUAGACCCGUAAUCCGGGUUGCGGACAGUGUCUGGUGGGUAGUUUGACUGGGGCGGUCUCCUCCCAAAGAGUAACGGAGGAGCACGAAGGUUGGCUAAUCCUGGUCGGACAUCAGGAGGUUAGUGCAAUGGCAUAAGCCAGCUUGACUGCGAGCGUGACGGCGCGAGCAGGUGCGAAAGCAGGUCAUAGUGAUCCGGUGGUUCUGAAUGGAAGGGCCAUCGCUCAACGGAUAAAAGGUACUCCGGGGAUAACAGGCUGAUACCGCCCAAGAGUUCAUAUCGACGGCGGUGUUUGGCACCUCGAUGUCGGCUCAUCACAUCCUGGGGCUGAAGUAGGUCCCAAGGGUAUGGCUGUUCGCCAUUUAAAGUGGUACGCGAGCUGGGUUUAGAACGUCGUGAGACAGUUCGGUCCCUAUCUGCCGUGGGCGCUGGAGAAUUGAGGGGGGCUGCUCCUAGUACGAGAGGACCGGAGUGGACGCAUCACUGGUGUUCGGGUUGUCAUGCCAAUGGCACUGCCCGGUAGCUAAAUGCGGAAGAGAUAAGUGCUGAAAGCAUCUAAGCACGAAACUUGCCCCGAGAUGAGUUCU